RNAcentral lists this ribosomal RNA (616 nucleotides) under uncultured bacterium. Its description in RNAcentral is "bacterial SSU rRNA". It matches the Rfam family "Bacterial small subunit ribosomal RNA", at positions 338 to 947 of the family's 1533-position model. The record is from RNAcentral.
CCUACGGGAGGCAGCAGUGGGGAAUUUUGGACAAUGGGCGAAAGCCUGAUCCAGCAAUGCCGCGUGCAGGAAGAAGGCCUUCGGGUUGUAAACUGCUUUUGUACGGAACGAAACGGUCUGCUUUAAUACAGUGGGCUAAUGACGGUACCGUAAGAAUAAGCACCGGCUAACUACGUGCCAGCAGCCGCGGUAAUACGUAGGGUGCGAGCGUUAAUCGGAAUUACUGGGCGUAAAGCGUGCGCAGGCGGUUAUAUAAGACAGUUGUGAAAUCCCCGGGCUCAACCUGGGAAUUGCAUCUGUGACUGUAUAGCUAGAGUACGGUAGAGGGGGAUGGAAUUCCGCGUGUAGCAGUGAAAUGCGUAGAUAUGCGGAGGAACACCGAUGGCGAAGGCAAUCCCCUGGACCUGUACUGACGCUCAUGCACGAAAGCGUGGGGAGCAAACAGGAUUAGAUACCCUGGUAGUCCACGCCCUAAACGAUGUCAACUGGUUGUUGGGUGCAUUAGUACUCAGUAACGAAGCUAACGCGUGAAGUUGACCGCCUGGGGAGUACGGCCGCAAGGUUGAAACUCAAAUGAAUUGACGGCUGAGAGNGCGAGCGACGACGAGGGAGGAGG